UACGUAGGGUGCAAGCGUUGUCCGGAAUUAUUGGGCGUAAAGAGCUCGUAGGCGGUCUGUCGCGUCGGCUGUGAAAACUCGGGGCUCAACCCCGAGCCUGCAGUCGAUACGGGCAGACUAGAGUGCUGUAGGGGAGACUGGAAUUCCUGGUGUAGCGGUGAAAUGCGCAGAUAUCAGGAGGAACACCGGUGGCGAAGGCGGCUCACUGGCCCGAUACUGACGCUGAGGCACGAAAGCGUGGGGAGCAAACAGG
This 253-nucleotide ribosomal RNA is filed under the name uncultured bacterium. RNAcentral's name for it is "partial 16S ribosomal RNA". It matches the Rfam family "Bacterial small subunit ribosomal RNA", at positions 524 to 776 of the family's 1533-position model. The record is from RNAcentral.